AAGCAGCGUGUAAUUAAAGUAGAGUUAACUCGAUCGAACAAUCAAGCAAACAAGAUGAUUCAUCGAUCAUGGAUGUUUUAGCUGAUUAUUUACGUUUGGUGAAAACUUGUUGAUGGUUUUUGGGGAAGACAAUGGAAUGUUAUGAACACCACUAUCUUCGAAAGCACAACAAUAAAACACAGGAGGGUGACAACAAGGGGGUGUAACUCCUUGAGUUGUUGUCACUACGAGGAACAACAUAAUCACAAUAAUGUUUAUACCAAUUUCUUUGGCCAUGAUGUUCU
RNAcentral lists this long non-coding RNA (284 nucleotides) under Capsicum annuum. RNAcentral describes it as "long non-coding RNA (CANN_LNC006039)". Lineage: Eukaryota; Viridiplantae; Streptophyta; Magnoliopsida; Solanales; Solanaceae. The record is from RNAcentral.